RNAcentral lists this unclassified non-coding RNA (577 nucleotides) under Megacollybia platyphylla. RNAcentral's name for it is "sequence contains 28S rRNA gene". It matches the Rfam family "Eukaryotic large subunit ribosomal RNA", at positions 100 to 654 of the family's 3401-position model. RNAcentral also lists the same sequence under 1 other name. Lineage: Eukaryota; Fungi; Basidiomycota; Agaricomycetes; Agaricales; Porotheleaceae. The record is from RNAcentral.
GGGAAGAGCUCAAAUUUAAAAUCUGGCAGUCUCUGGCUGUCCGAGUUGUAAUUUAGAGAAGUGUUGCCCGCGCUGGACCCGUAUACAAGUCCUCUGGAAUGGGGUGUCAUAGAGGGUGAGAAUCCCGUCUUUGAUACGGACUACCAGUGCUUUGUGGUGCGCUCUCGAAGAGUCGAGUUGUUUGGGAAUGCAGCUCAAAAUGGGUGGUAAAUUCCAUCUAAAGCUAAAUACAGGCGAGAGACCGAUAGCGAACAAGUACCGUGAGGGAAAGAUGAAAAGAACUUUGGAAAGAGAGUUAAACAGUACGUGAAAUUGCUGAAAGGGAAACGCUUGAAGUCAGUCGCGUUGUUCAAGAAUCAGCCUUGCUUUCUUGCUUGGUGUACUUUUUGUUCAAUGGGUCAACAUCAGUUUUGACCACUGGAUAAGGGCCAGGGAAAUGUGGCAUCUUUAGAUGUGUUAUAGUCUCUGGUCAUAUACAGUGGUUGGGACUGAGGAACUCAGCAUGCCRAAAGGACGGGUCUUUAAGACUACGUUACAUGCUUAGGAUGUUGGCAUAAUGGCUUUAAUCGACCCGUCU